This 254-nucleotide ribosomal RNA is filed under the name uncultured bacterium. Its description in RNAcentral is "partial 16S ribosomal RNA". It matches the Rfam family "Bacterial small subunit ribosomal RNA", at positions 524 to 776 of the family's 1533-position model. The record is from RNAcentral.
UACGUAGGGUGCAAGCGUUGUCCGGAAUUAUUGGGCGUAAAGAGCUCGUAGGCGGCUUGUACGCGUCGACUGUGAAAACCCGCGGCUCAACUGCGGGCUUGCGGUCGAUACGGGCAGGCUAGAGUUCGGUAGGGGAGACUGGAAUUCCUGGUGUAGCGGUGAAAUGCGCAGAUAUCAGGAGGAACACCGAUGGCGAAGGCAGGUCUCUGGGCCGAUACUGACGCUGAGGAGCGAAAGCGUGGGGAGCGAACAGG